Molecule: ribosomal RNA, 385 nt
Filed under: uncultured bacterium
Lineage: Bacteria
Description: bacterial SSU rRNA
Rfam family: Bacterial small subunit ribosomal RNA
Source: RNAcentral
AUUGAACGCUGGCGGCAUGCCUUACACAUGCAAGUCGAACGGCAGCGCGGACUUCGGUCUGGCGGCGAGUGGCGAACGGGUGAGUAAUGUAUCGGAACGUACCAUUCAGUGGGGGAUAACGCAGCGAAAGUAGCGCUAAUACCGCAUAUUCUGUGCGCAGGAAAGCAGGGGAUCGCAAGACCUUGCGCUGAUUGAGCGGCCGAUAUCAGAUUAGCUAGUUGGUGAGGUAAAGGCUCACCAAGGCGACGAUCUGUAGCGGGUCUGAGAGGAUGAUCCGCCACACUGGAACUGAGACACGGUCCAGACUCCUACGGGAGGCAGCAGUGGGAAUUUUGGACAAUGGGCGCAAGCCUGAUCCAGCCAUGCCGCGUGAGUGAAGAAGGCC